Molecule: ribosomal RNA, 253 nt
Filed under: uncultured bacterium
Lineage: Bacteria
Description: partial 16S ribosomal RNA
Rfam family: Bacterial small subunit ribosomal RNA
Source: RNAcentral
UACGGGGGGGGCAAGCGUUGUUCGGAAUUACUGGGCGUAAAGGGCUCGUAGGCGGCCAACUAAGUCGGAUGUGAAAUCCCCAGGCUUAACCUGGGAACUGCAUCCGAUACUGGAUGGCUUGAAUCCGGGAGAGGGAUGCGGAAUUCCAGGUGUAGCGGUGAAAUGCGUAGAUAUCUGGAGGAACACCGGUGGCGAAGGCGGCAUCCUGGACCGGCAUUGACGCUGAGGCACGAAAGCUAGGGUAGCGAACGGG